GGACGAUGAUGACGGUACCCGCAGAAGAAGCCCCGGCUAACUUCGUGCCAGCAGCCGCGGUAAUACGUAGGUGGCAAGCGUUGUCCGGAAUUAUUGGGCGUAAAGCGCGCGCAGGCGGUCUUUUAAGUCUGAUGUGAAAGCCCACGGCUUAACCGUGGAGGGUCAUUGGAAACUGGAGGACUUGAGUACAGAAGAGGAGAGUGGAAUUCCACAAGUAGCGGCGAAAUGCAUAGAUAUGUCACAGAACACCGAUUGCGAAGGCAGCUUACCAAGGUAUGAUUGACGCUGAGGCACGAAAGCGUGGGGAUCAAACAGGAUUAGAUACCCUGGUAGUCCACGCCGUAAACGAUGAGUGCUAGGUGUUGGGGGUAUCACGCCCUCUGUGCCGAAGGUAACCCAAUAAGCACUCCGCCUGGGGAGUACGGCCGCAAGGCUGAAACUCAAAGGAAUUGACGGGGGCCCGCACAAGCGGAGGAGCAUGUGGUUUAAUUCGAUGAUACGCGAGGAACCUUACCCGGGCUUGAAAGUUAGUGAAGGUACCAGAGACGGUACCGUCCUUCGGGACACGAAACUAGGUGCUGCAUGGCUGUCGUCAGCUCGUGCCGUGAGGUGUUGGGUUA
This 620-nucleotide ribosomal RNA is filed under the name uncultured Desmospora sp. Its description in RNAcentral is "bacterial SSU rRNA". It matches the Rfam family "Bacterial small subunit ribosomal RNA", at positions 461 to 1082 of the family's 1533-position model. Lineage: Bacteria; Bacillati; Bacillota; Bacilli; Caryophanales; Thermoactinomycetaceae. The record is from RNAcentral.